RNAcentral lists this long non-coding RNA (1324 nucleotides) under Oryza brachyantha (malo sina). RNAcentral's name for it is "long non-coding RNA (OBRA_LNC000370)". The record is from RNAcentral. Lineage: Eukaryota; Viridiplantae; Streptophyta; Magnoliopsida; Poales; Poaceae.
GCAGUUGGGGAAGCGUGCGCGCGAAAAACGAGAGAUAUCAAUCACUGCAAUAUCUUUUAAGCUUAAAAAAAAUCAUAUAUCAUAAGCUGUACAAGGUUGGUAGGACUUCUUCCAUUGCUAAUUAUUUGUAUAUAAUAAUGCGAUGCCCUUUCCCGUUUUCAUGAUUUUUUUUAUUGCAAUGGUAGGUAAUAUACCUGAAAAUGAUAUCCUUAAUUUUAUAUACCGGAAAUGAUUCUGAGCUGGUACUUCUCAUAAGAAUCUGAAACUGAUACAUAUAUACUUUGUAAAUUCAUUGUGCCACACUGACACUGUUAAUCACAACAAAUCACCAUGGAUGAUGUAUACUCAGCCAGUUCCCUGGCGACUUUCAUUCCUUUAUUCAAUUUAUUUAGUUCUGAAUUUACUGUCAUGGAAUGUACUGUUACUUCACAUGAGCAAAUUAGGUUUACAUUACCAUGAAUUAAUCAACAAGGACAGCAUGUCUGAACUCUGGAGAAACUAGCUGACAAGCACAGCUCAACUGGGCACCUGUCUUCUUCUCCCUACCACAAUGAUUAACCUAGCUAGGUUCUUAACAACUCCAGUGGGCUUCACCUUUUCAAUAUUCUCAUCUUGCCAAGAACAUAUUCCAACAUGGAAGAGGGCAUAUUAUACAGAUUCUGAUGAGAUGAACUUUUCGAAAUGCGUAAAAAUUCCUUGCUGGCUACAACACAACACAUAGCUUGAAUUGGACGCCAUUGAAUAAUCUUAGCUUAACAGCUUCAUCUGAACAACAAGUUUAGCUAGGACCAUUCGGGCAGAUAGAGAUAAUUGUGUCGAUCAAUCAUGCCAUUGGCUCAAUCUACCAACCCCCAAUCUGGGAAGGAGAAAAAAUAUCAGUUUUCAGAGAAGAGAUUGAUCCAUCCGGGAAACGCCAAGCGCCAUACGUUGUGAUCUUGGAUGGAUAAGAGGGGAUGAUGCCAAUGAAAACUCAGGCCACAAUUAUUCAGACAACAAAUGGUAGAAACAAUCUUGCAUGCCUUGUUUAAAUUAUGCAGGGCAUGCAUGCCCAGAUCUUUGUAUGAGUGGUUCUGUGAAUGCAGUCAGGUUUCUCAUCGUUUUCAUAUGGAUGGAUGGAUGGUAGCUUUCUGAAUGCCUGCAUUUGCAUUUGCAUGCAUGCACUCUGCCAUUGGUCCCCUUAUCUCCUUCGGGCCAUUGCAGGACACUCACAGGUUCUCUCCUAUUGGAAUGAGUCCAGGCAUUGCUGCUAGCUACUCCCUCUGUCUCAUGUUUGAUUUUUUUUUUCUUAUAAUGUUUGAUCAUUUGUCUUAUUCAAAAAAUUAAG